AGCGAACAUUGGCGGUAGGCUUAACACAUGCAAGUCGAGCGAGGCGUAAUAGUCGAGCGGCGAACGGGUGCGUAAUACAUGGGAAUCUACCCUGAAGUGGGGGAUAACGUUCAGAAAUGGACGCUAAUACCGCAUAAUCCACAUUGGGAAAGCGUUGCAGCGCUUAAGGAUGAGCCCAUGGCUGAUUAGCUAGUUGGUGAGGUAAUGGCUCACCAAGGCGACGAUCAGUAGCUGGUCUGAGAGGAUGACCAGCCACACUGGAACUGAGAUACGGUCCAGACUCCUACGGGAGGCAGCAGUGGGGAAUCUUGCGCAAUGGGGGCAACCCUGACGCAGCCAUACCGCGUGAGUGAUGAAGGUCUUCGGAUUGUAAAGCUCUUUCGGCGGGGACGACGAUGACGGUACCCGCAAAAGAAGUCACGGCUAACUUCGUGCCAGCCGCCGCCGUAA
Molecule: ribosomal RNA, 450 nt
Filed under: uncultured bacterium
Lineage: Bacteria
Description: partial 16S ribosomal RNA
Rfam family: Bacterial small subunit ribosomal RNA
Source: RNAcentral